CCAGAACUGGGGGUGGGGGUGCGUCAUCCAAAGUCUGGCUCAGAUGGAUCCAAACACGAAAGCGAAUGAAGAGGAGGGGGCGGUUGCUACGAAGGGCGAAGUCCAGAAUAUAACCAACCUACUGGCCUGGCUCCCGGAGGUGUUGAAAACAUUUCCCCCCAAGGCUUGCUCACCGCCUCCCUGCUACUCCCACACCCCCGGGUCCCCUCAAACCAUGUCCAAAGUUCAACAGUUUCAAAGAGGCAGACCUGAAGUGAAGGAACAAACACGGCCUUUGGCAACAGCAGGUGGGUUUCCAAUCUGGACUGCCAAGGUCCUGCGAGCUGUGUGGCCUUGGAAGGGUCCCGGGAGGGCCCUUGUGAUGUGGUCCCUUAGGGCCUGGGUGAGGAUAACACAGGUCUAUGUGUGUCAAGGCCAAGCGCAUUGUGGUUCUCAGGAAUAAGGAUUCCUUCCUCUUUCCCACUCCCUACCCAGCCACACACCCACCCUUCCCUUUGUUCCUUUCUCUGUUAUGCAACCAAAGUUUAAAUCCUUCGUAGGUUCACUGCCAGCAAACAGCAAAACAGUGGCCUGGCAAAGGGAGGUUUCGAAAGCCACAUUGCCCACGUUCUUGUCCACGUGCUCUAGGACAGGACCUCUGCACUCUUUCCCCAAUAUCGCAAAGAGCCCCGUAAGUGGUUACGUUCCCCAAAUCGCAGAGCUGUGGCCAGCUGUUGCCAUGGCGACCGGAACCCCCUGACAACCAUCUCGAAGGGCCUCUGAGGAGGAGACUGCUUGGCUUCCAUUCACGCGCAGUUCAAACGGCUCGCCCACAGGUCACCCUGCCUGGGACAGAUGCCUAAGGCCUCUCCCAUUGCCUACCAGCUCAGGCUGGAGAGGUGGAGGAGGCCAGUCACAGGGGCUGAGGGGCUCACCUGGGAGUCUGUAUAUGCUGGGGAGCCAACAAAGGUUGCAUGCGGCAUGUGCACUUUGGAUCAGAAGGGCCUGGGUGCUCAGGAGAGAAGUCACGAGGAUCUUCACUGGGCAGGGCCAGUAGGGAGGAACUGAGGACCUGGCCAAAGAGGCAUUGUAGAGGCCCUACGAUGGGUCUUUAGUGACAGAAGAGAGAGUGAGGGUGAAGGAGGAAGGGAAGGUUCUGGCAUAUGAAGUGACUGUGUAAGUCCUGGAGCAGGGGACAUUGGCCACCAUUCUCCAGAGUGGCCCUCAGUGAUCUCACCUCCUGAUAUCCCACACUAUAUCAGGACUGGCCUAUGUGACCACGAGCCACACAGGAAGGAGGAUGACAUAUGACCCAAAGCUAGGCCAUCAAAGACAUUGCAACUUUUCUGCCUUACUUCCUUUUCUCUGAUCAGCUCUGGGGAAAAGCCAGCUGCUACACUGUGGGAAUACAUAGCCUCAAGAAGAGGCCCUCACGGCAUAGGACUGGGGCCUUCUGCCAAAACCCAGCGAGAUGCUGGGCUCUCCCACCAAUGGCUGUGCGAGUGAGCGGGAAAUAGACCCUCCGGCCCCAGUCGGCUUCAGAUGCUGGCAGCCCCACCUGUAACCUCAAGGCAGGCCUUGAGCCAAACCAUCCAGCUAAGCUGCUCCGAAUUUUCUGACCCACAACAACUGUGAGAUAAUAAAUGUUUGCUAUUCCAA
Long non-coding RNA from Leopardus geoffroyi (Geoffroy's cat), 1638 nucleotides. RefSeq lists it as uncharacterized. The transcript is spliced from 2 exons. NCBI's taxonomy places the organism in Eukaryota, Metazoa, Chordata, Mammalia, Carnivora, Felidae. The record is from RefSeq and is a predicted model, not a curated record.